UCCUGACCUGCUGCGUGUCUCCUCAUGGCCCCCCUCGGCCUCCUGGUUCCUCCUCUGUAACACGGUGGCGAAGCGGUUCCGUGGUCGAGGCUGGCUGCUCCCGGAGGGCCAGACCACUUCCUGGUCUGGUCUGGACCGCUUGUGACUGGAGCAGGAGGAGGAAGAGGAGGAGGAGAAGGAGGAGGAGGAGGAGGAGUACAGCUGCAGCACGUCCUGGUCUGAAACACCGGAGUCUGCAGGGCGUGAAGAACAGACGAGGGUCAAACCUGCGACCUUCAGGCUGUGAGCCCACCGCUUCCUUCCAGCUCCCUCCAGUGGCGUCUCAGAAGACGAACGUCUGCUGAAUGUGGUUUUAAGGUUUAUUUCCCUUCUAUUUCUUAAUAAAGUAUUUCUAUUCUG
Salarias fasciatus (jewelled blenny) is the source of this 399-nucleotide long non-coding RNA. RefSeq lists it as uncharacterized. The record is from RefSeq and is a predicted model, not a curated record. The transcript is spliced from 2 exons. Lineage: Eukaryota; Metazoa; Chordata; Actinopteri; Blenniiformes; Blenniidae.